AGUUGCCAACUUCCAAUCUUCUGGAACUACUCCUGCAAUUAGCGACUGGUCAAAUAAGUCUGCCCUGCUUGCUUAUGACUGUGUGAUCAUGAAACUGGGAAACAGGAGCCUGGAGAGUAUGUAACAGUUUAUCGCAAUUCAAAAAAUGAAAUAAAUCAAUCAAUUAAAAAAAAA
Long non-coding RNA from Spea bombifrons (plains spadefoot toad), 174 nucleotides. RefSeq lists it as uncharacterized. Lineage: Eukaryota; Metazoa; Chordata; Amphibia; Anura; Pelobatidae. The record is from RefSeq and is a predicted model, not a curated record. The transcript has 2 exons.